Molecule: small nucleolar RNA, 80 nt
Organism: Girardinichthys multiradiatus
Lineage: Eukaryota; Metazoa; Chordata; Actinopteri; Cyprinodontiformes; Goodeidae
Product: small nucleolar RNA SNORD100
Exons: 1
Source: RefSeq, a predicted model, not a curated record
UGUAUCAGUGAUAACUUGGCUCCUUCUACUGAACCCUGUGAGGAGAUUGUCUCUGUUACCCAAAUUCUGUCUGAGAUACA